Molecule: ribosomal RNA, 216 nt
Filed under: uncultured Hyphomonas sp.
Lineage: Bacteria; Pseudomonadati; Pseudomonadota; Alphaproteobacteria; Hyphomonadales; Hyphomonadaceae
Description: partial 16S ribosomal RNA
Rfam family: Bacterial small subunit ribosomal RNA
Source: RNAcentral
UAGAGUUUGAUCCUGGCUCAGAACGAACGCUGGCGGCAGGCCUAACACAUGCAAGUCGAACGAUAUAGUGGCAGACGGGUGAGUAACGCGUGGGAACGUACCUUUCGCUAAGGAAUAGCUCCGGGAAACUGGUGGUAAUACCUUAUACGCCCUUAGGGGGAAAGAUUUAUCGGGGAAGGAUCGGCCCGCGUUGGAUUAGGUAGUUGGUGGGGUAAC